This 253-nucleotide ribosomal RNA is filed under the name uncultured bacterium. Its description in RNAcentral is "partial 16S ribosomal RNA". It matches the Rfam family "Bacterial small subunit ribosomal RNA", at positions 524 to 776 of the family's 1533-position model. The record is from RNAcentral.
UACAGAGGUCCCGAGCGUUGUUCGGAUUCAUUGGGCGUAAAGGGUGCGUAGGCGGCGGGGCAAGUCUGAUGUGAAAUCCCGGGGCUCAACCCCGGAACUGCAUUGGAUACUGCCUUGCUAGAGUACUGGAGAGGGAACUGGAAUUUACGGUGUAGCAGUGAAAUGCGUAGAGAUCGUAAGGAAGGCCAGUGGCGAAGGCGAGUUCCUGGACAGUAACUGACGCUGAGGCACGAAGGCCAGUGGAGCAAACGGG